Molecule: ribosomal RNA, 187 nt
Filed under: uncultured bacterium
Lineage: Bacteria
Description: partial 16S ribosomal RNA
Rfam family: Bacterial small subunit ribosomal RNA
Source: RNAcentral
CUGAAACUCGCCUGCACGAAGUUGGAGUUGCUAGUAAUCGCAGAUCAGAAUGCUGCGGUGAAUGCGUUCCCGGGUCUUGUACACACCGCCCGUCACACCAUGGAAGUUGGGGGGUGCCCAAAGUCGGUUAGAAAAUAAACUGCCUAAGGCAAAACCAAUGACUGGGGUGAAGUCGUAACAAGGUAUC